GUGUGUUUCAUGCUGGAAAACCAUAAAUCUUUACAUUUAGGCUGCGAUUGUUACACUUUUUCUGUUAAUCGAUGUAGUAUCCAUGAAUCAAACUGUUGUUAUAAAUUAAGGUGAACGAAUAUUGUUAUGUUUUCAUUAUGGUACUGAUUGCAGUCAUAUUGAGCAGAUAAUCACCUGGUGAAUCACAUGUUUGUGGGCGGAGACAUUUUUGUGAAUAUAACUCACCUGUUGGUUUUGCACCUGUACGUUAGAGGGGAGAGGGUGAGCUGAGAUUGCCACAUUUUUUGUUGAUCUCUUUAGUUGUCGCCGUUUUGAUGCUUUUUGCAUUUUACUUUUGCUUACAAUAAGCCAGAGUCAUCCUAAGUUGUUCCAAUAAUUUUUUUGUCAUCAAUAAAAGGCUCAAAGCAUGACCCAAUUCAAGUCCAUUUGUUCAGCGUGUCAUACAAUAAUCAGGCCCAGCAUCAGUCUCUCAGCGACUUUGGAUUUUUGAUGUUGUCACUACAGUAUACAAACCGACCCCGGACCCCCAUCAGAGAAGAAAACAGUUAUGUGACCCCCCACAAGACCCCUGCUCUAGAACAGAACAGAAGAGCUCAUCCUAACAGGGUCAUCCUGGACAUUCACACCUGGGUGGCUGCCUUCAUCAGCACAGGUAAGCAGCUGGCUCCUACAGUCCUUACAAAGACAGAUAUGAUACAUACUAAUGUUUUAUUUAACUCGUGGUAAGUAAAAUCUACUAUUUUGUACUGAUUUCCCAUCAUUUACUUAUCUUUUUGCGAGACGGCUCCUGAAAAUGUUCUAUUUGGUAGUUUAAGUUUAUUAGACUCAUUUGUCGCCUUAAAGUGAUCUCUAUCAAACUAGGCGCUGCACAAAAAAAGUUGUAACAACAGAAACACAGCAAAAAUGUUAAAAGAAAUUUUAUAUAUAUAUAUAUAUAUAUAUAUAUAUAAACUAUAAAGUAGUAUUUUGAUUAAAUAUACACAUUUUUUGUCAAGUAUAAAUAAAGUUUCAAAACUAGUUUUACACUGACCCUUUAAAAAGAGUGACGUCACGUGUGAAGGUUAACCAAAUGUAUGGAAAUAAAGGUGGUUAUAUCUAUAGAAUGUUUUUAUUUAUAAUACGUUAUAAUUUUUACGUAAGAUUUAGAUUUAUUGAUAAAAUAAGUUGAUAAAGAAAUCACCCCUUUCUUAGCACAUAACCUUCCAACGUCCUCUCAAGCUCCACCCAAAUUCUCUCGUUCUCCGCUGUAA
This 1250-nucleotide long non-coding RNA is filed under the name Oryzias javanicus (javanese ricefish). Its description in RNAcentral is "lncRNA (ENSOJAG00000015109.1)". Lineage: Eukaryota; Metazoa; Chordata; Actinopteri; Beloniformes; Adrianichthyidae. The record is from RNAcentral.